This 429-nucleotide ribosomal RNA is filed under the name Bacteroidota bacterium. RNAcentral describes it as "Bacteroidetes bacterium partial 16S ribosomal RNA". It matches the Rfam family "Bacterial small subunit ribosomal RNA", at positions 355 to 776 of the family's 1533-position model. The record is from RNAcentral. Lineage: Bacteria; Pseudomonadati; Bacteroidota.
UAGGGAAUCUUCGGCAAUGGGGGGAACCCUGACCGAGCAACGCCGCGUGAGUGAAGAAGGUUUUCGGAUCGUAAAGCUCUGUUGUUAAGGAAGAACGAGUGUGAGAAUGGAAAGUUCAUACUGUGACGGUACUUAACCAGAAAGGGACGGCUAACUACGUGCCAGCAGCCGCGGUAAUACGUAGGUCCCGAGCGUUGUCCGGAUUUAUUGGGCGUAAAGCGAGCGCAGGCGGUUAGAUAAGUCUGAAGUGAAAGGCAGUGGCUCAACCAUUGUAGGCUUUGGAAACUGUUUAACUUGAGUGCAGAAGGGGAGAGUGGAAUUCCAUGUGUAGCGGUGAAAUGCGUAGAUAUAUGGUGGAACACCGGUGGCGAAAGCGGCUCUCUGGUCUGUAACUGACGCUGAGGCUCGAAAGCGUGGGGAGCGAACAGG